This 274-nucleotide ribosomal RNA is filed under the name uncultured bacterium. Its description in RNAcentral is "partial 16S ribosomal RNA". It matches the Rfam family "Bacterial small subunit ribosomal RNA", at positions 793 to 1055 of the family's 1533-position model. The record is from RNAcentral.
GUCCUAGCCGUAAACGAUGGGCACUAGGUAGGGGGGAAACCUAUGGUCUUCCCUGCCGGAGCAAAUGUGUUAAGUGCCCCGCCUGGGGAGUACGCUCGCAAGGGUAAAACUCAAAGGAAUUGACGGGGGCUCACACAAGCGGUGGAGCAUGUGGUUCAAUUCGAAGCAACGCGAAGAACCUUACCUGGCCUUGACAGUGGCGGAUUAGCUUCCUGAAAGGGAAGUUACUCCUCUUCGGAGGCGGAACGCCAAACAGGUGUUGCAUGGCUGUCGU